AUUCCAGCUCCAAUAGCGUAUACUAAAGUUGUUGCAGUUAAAAAGCUCGUAGUUGAAUUUCUGGUCGUGAAAAGUGGUCCAUUCCGCAAGGAAUGUGUACUGUCUAUUCAUGUCCAUCCUCGGAGUUAGUGUGUAUUACUUUAAUCGGUCGUGCAUGCAAUACUUCGUCAUUUACUGUGAGCAAAAUAGAGUGUUCAAAGCAGGCUUAUGCCGUUGAAUAUAUUAGCAUGGAAUAAUAAGAUAUGACUUUGGUCUAUUUUGUUGGUUUGCACUCCAAAGUAAUGAUUAAUAGGGAUAGUUGGGGGUAUUCGUAUUCAAUUGUCAGAGGUGAAAUUCUUGGAUUUAUGGAAGACGAACUACUGCGAAAGCAUUUACCAAGGAUGUUUUCAUUG
RNAcentral lists this ribosomal RNA (392 nucleotides) under Chrysophyceae sp. RNAcentral describes it as "partial small subunit ribosomal RNA". It matches the Rfam family "Eukaryotic small subunit ribosomal RNA", at positions 582 to 975 of the family's 1831-position model. Lineage: Eukaryota; Chrysophyceae. The record is from RNAcentral.